CCUACGGGAGGCAGCAGGGAGGAAUAUUGGUCAAUGGUCGGGAGACUGAACCAGCCAAGCCGCGUGAGGGAUGAAGGUACAGAGUAUAGUAAACCUCUUUUGUCAGGGAACAAAGGCGGGGACGUGUCCCCGGAUGAGUGUACCUGAAGAAAAAGCAUCGGCUAACUCCGUGCCAGCAGCCGCGGUAAUCCGGGGGAUGCGAGCGUUAUCCGGAUCUAUUGGGUUUAAAGGGUGCGCAGGCCGUCUGUUAAGUCAGCGGUCAAAGCCCGGGGCUCAACCCCGGCCCGCCGUUGAAACUGGCAGUCUCGAGUUGGGGAGAGGUAUGCGGAAUGCGCGGUGUAGCGGUGAAAUGCAUAGAUAUCGCGCAGAACUCCGAUUGCGAAGGCAGCAUGCCGGCUCCACACUGACGCUGAGGCACGAAAGCGUGGGUAUCGAACAGGAUUAGAUACCCGGGUAGUC
RNAcentral lists this ribosomal RNA (459 nucleotides) under uncultured bacterium. Its description in RNAcentral is "partial 16S ribosomal RNA". It matches the Rfam family "Bacterial small subunit ribosomal RNA", at positions 338 to 795 of the family's 1533-position model. The record is from RNAcentral.